Molecule: ribosomal RNA, 403 nt
Filed under: uncultured bacterium
Lineage: Bacteria
Description: partial 16S ribosomal RNA
Rfam family: Bacterial small subunit ribosomal RNA
Source: RNAcentral
AUUGAACGCUGGCGGCAGGCCUAACACAUGCAAGUCGAGCGAGCGGCGGACGGGUGAGUAAUGUAUGGGGACUGCCCGAUCGAGGGGGAUAACCACUGGAAACGGUGGCUAAUACCGCAUACUAUCGGAUAACCCAUAUGGGAUUAGCUAGUGGGUGGGGUAAAGGCUCACCUAGGCGACGAUCGCUAGCUGGUCUGAGAGGAUGAACAGCCACACGGGGACUGGGACACGUCCAGGACUCCUACGGAGGAAGCAGUGGGGAAUAUUCGACAAGGGGCGCAAGCCGGAGGAAGCCAUGCCGCGUGGAUGAAGCAGGCCUUAGGGUUGUAAAGUACUUUCAGCGGGGAGACGUUACCCGCAGAGGAAGCACCGGCUAACUCCGUGCCAGCAGCCGCGGUAAUAC